GUGUCAGCAGCCGCGGUAAUACAGAGGGGGCGAGCGUUGUUCGGAAUUACUGGGCGUAAAGGGCGCGUAGGCGGCCACCUCAGUCGGACGUGAAAUCCCCGGGCUCAACCCGGGAACUGCGUCCGAUACUGGGUGGCUAGAGUCCGGGAGAGGGAAGUGGAAUUCCAGGUGUAGCGGUGAAAUGCGUAGAUAUCUGGAGGAACACCGGUGGCGAAGGCGGCUUCCUGGACCGGUACUGACGCUGAGGCGCGAAAGCCAGGGGAGCAAACGGGAUUAGAAACCCUGGUAGUCC
This 292-nucleotide ribosomal RNA is filed under the name uncultured bacterium. RNAcentral describes it as "partial 16S ribosomal RNA". It matches the Rfam family "Bacterial small subunit ribosomal RNA", at positions 505 to 796 of the family's 1533-position model. The record is from RNAcentral.